This 237-nucleotide ribosomal RNA is filed under the name uncultured archaeon. RNAcentral describes it as "partial 16S ribosomal RNA". It matches the Rfam family "Archaeal small subunit ribosomal RNA", at positions 760 to 991 of the family's 1478-position model. The record is from RNAcentral.
AUGCGCGUUAGGUGUAUCGGGUGAACCACGAGUUCACCGAGGUGCCGAAGGGGAAACCGUGAAACGUGCCGCCUGGGAAGUACGGUCGCAAGGCUGAAACUUAAAGGAAUUGGCGNGGGGAGCACCACAACAGGUGGAGCCUGCGGUUUAAUCGGACUCAACGCCGGGAAGCUCACCGGAUAAGACAGCUGAAUGAUAGCCGGGCUGAAGACUCUGCUUGACUAGCUGAGAGGAGGU